AUUGAACGCUGGCGGAAUGCUUUACACAUGCAAGUCGAACGGCAGCACGGACUUCGGUCUGGUGGCGAGUGGCGAACGGGUGAGUAAUACAUCGGAACGUGCCCAGUCGUGGGGGAUAACGUAGCGAAAGCUACGCUAAUACCGCAUACGAUCUACGGAUGAAAGCGGGGGAUCGCAAGACCUCGCGCGAUUGGAGCGGCCGAUGGCAGAUUAGGUAGUUGGUAGGGUAAAGGCCUACCAAGCCGACGAUCUGUAGCUGGUCUGAGAGGAUGGUCAGCCACGCUGGGACUGGGACACGGCCCAGACUCCUACGGGAGGCAGCAGUGGGGAAUUUUGGACAAUGGACGCAAGUCUGAUCCAGCCAUUCCGCGUGCAGGAUGAAGGCCCUCGGGUUGUAAACUGCUUUUGUACAGAACGAAAAGGCUCUGGUUAAUACCUGGGGCUCAUGACGGUACUGUAAGAAUAAGCACCGGCUAACUACGUGCCAGCAGCCGCAGUAA
Molecule: ribosomal RNA, 500 nt
Filed under: uncultured bacterium
Lineage: Bacteria
Description: partial 16S ribosomal RNA
Rfam family: Bacterial small subunit ribosomal RNA
Source: RNAcentral